RNAcentral lists this ribosomal RNA (460 nucleotides) under uncultured bacterium. Its description in RNAcentral is "partial 16S ribosomal RNA". It matches the Rfam family "Bacterial small subunit ribosomal RNA", at positions 338 to 795 of the family's 1533-position model. The record is from RNAcentral.
CCUACGGGAGGCAGCAGUGAGGAAUAUUGGUCAAUGGACGCAAGUCUGAACCAGCCAUGCCGCGUGCAGGAAGACGGCUCUAUGAGUUGUAAACUGCUUUUGUACGAGGGUAAACGCAGAUACGCGUAUCUGUCUGAAAGUAUCGUACGACUAAGGAUCGGCCAACUCCGUGCCAGCAGCCGCGGUAAUACGGAGGAUUCAAGCGUUAUCCGGAUUUGUUGGGUUUAAAGGGUGCGUUGGCGGUCGGAUAAGUUAGAGUUGAACUCCCGAGGCUCAACUUCGGAAUUGCCUCUGAUACUGGUCGGCUAGAGAGUAGUUGCGGUAUGCGGAAUGUAUGGUGUAGCGGUGAAAUGCUUAGAGAUCAUACAGAACACCGAUUGCGAAGGCAGCUUACCAAGCUACUUCUGACGUUGAGGCACGAAAGCGUGGGGAGCAAACAGGAUUAGAUACCCCGGUAGUC